UGAAUACGAGACGCUAAGGCGUCGAAGUAGUGUAUGUCAUACUUCCAAGAAAAGCUUGCACUGUCAUAGAUAAAAAACGCCUGUACCAUAACCGACACAGGUGGGUAGGUAGAGUAUACUAAGGGGCGCGAGAUAACUCUCUCUAAGGAACUCGGCAAAAUAACUCCGUAACUUCGGGAGAAGGAGUGCCUUAUUCGUAAGGUUGCAAUAACAAGAUCCAAGCAACUGUUUAUCAAAAACACAGGUCUCCGCUAAGUCGUAAGACGAUGUAUGGGGGCUGACGCCUGCCCAGUGCCAGAAGGUUAAAGAAGUUGGUUAGCAAUUGCGAAGCUGAUAACUGAAGCCCUGGUGAACGGCGGCCGUAACAAUAACGGUCCUAAGGUAGCGAAAUUCCUUGUCGGGUAAGUUCCGACCCGCACGAAAGGCGUAAUGAUUUGGAUACUGUCUCGGAGAGGGGCUCGGUGAAAUAGACUUGUCUGUGAAGAUGCGGACUACCUGCACCAGGACAGAAAGACCCUAUGAAGCUUUACUGUAACUUGAAAUUGAAAUUGGACUUUAUUCGCGCAGUAUAGGUGGGAGGCGUUGAUUAUAAUCUUGUGGGAUUAUUGGAGCCAUCAGUGAGAUACCACUCUUGUAAUGUUAGAUUUCUAACUUUGAAUCAUUAUCUGGUCAAAGAACAGUUUCAGGCGGGCAGUUUGACUGGGGCGGUCGCCUCCUAAACGGUAACGGAGGCGUACAAAGGUUUCCUCUGAACGGUUAGAAAUCGUAUCUAGAGUGUAAAGGCAUAAGGAAGCUUGACUGUGAGACCUACAAGUCGAGCAGGGACGAAAGUCGGUCUUAGUGAUCUGACGGUACUGAGUGGAAAGGCCGUCACUCAACGGAUAAAAGUUACUCUAGGAUAACAGGCUGAUCUCCCCCAAGAGUUCACAUCGACGGGGAGGUUUGUCACCUGGAUGUCGGCUCAUCGCAUCCUGGGGCGGUAGUACGUCCCAAGGGUUGGGCUGUUCGCCCAUGAAAGCGGUACGCGAGCUGGGUUCAGAACGUCGUGAGACAGUUCGGUCCAUAUCCGGUGUAGGCGUUAGAAUAUUGAGAGGAGCCUUCUUUAGUACGAGAGGACCGAGAAGGACAUACCUCUGGUGUACCAGUUAUCGUGCCAACGGUAAACGCUGGGUAGCUAUGUAUGGAGUGGAUAACCGCUGAAAGCAUCUAAGUGGGAAGCCCACCUCAAGAUAAGUAUUCUCAC
RNAcentral lists this ribosomal RNA (1243 nucleotides) under metagenome. Its description in RNAcentral is "bacterial LSU rRNA". It matches the Rfam family "Bacterial large subunit ribosomal RNA", at positions 1564 to 2817 of the family's 2925-position model. The record is from RNAcentral.